UAAUCCUUUCCCUCCCAAGUUAAAGUUUGAAUUGGCCCUCCGAGAGACACUGGGAUAAGACUUUAUUUACAGGAUUGGAGAUCCGUUAGUCCAAAGUGAUAUUUUCAAAAUGAAAAAUAGGAAAAUGCUCUCUAAUCUGACUCCACCUACCCCAGUUUUUCUUUAAGAUUUAUAUUGUGUUUAAAGUGAAGAUCAAAAUCAUGAUCUUAGCAUUCAUAGCCCAUGAAUUGCGUGACAUAUCCUUAGCUUUAUUUGUACACACGCGCGUGCACACACACAAUACACACACACACUUACACAUUUUCAACUUCUUGUAUUUCACUUUUCAGAAUUCAAUAUAACCUUCACUUUCUCAUCCCGACUCCCAUUCCUGUCAACAUGAUCCAGCCAGCAUCCUGUUUGUCCUUCAUCACCUUGACUUUGAUUUAUAAUCAAACAUCGAGUGCUCUAACUUCCCGAUGGAAGAUUUUUCACCUUUGAUAGCAAGCAGGCCCCGAGAAAGUAGGCACCAUGCUGUGAUCGCUUGAUGCGGAGAUUCUAGUGCUCAGCAGUCUCCAGCAUGUUGGGUUGACUUGUAUCCCCUCAGUGACAAGAUGAGAGCUUGACCCUGAUGACUGUGAAUGUGGCCUUGCGUGGAAAUAGGAUCUUUGCAGUUGUCGUCAAGAUUCCCGUGACCCUAAUCCAAUCUAAGAAGAAGAAAAAUCUGAAAGUAGAGAUACCCAGAAAAAGAGUGGGGAUCUGAUGCAUUUCAACAACGCAUCCAACUGAGGCGCAUGCUGCAGCUGUUAAGGGAUGUCCCAGUGCCACGGACUGCCGUGCCACGUGACAACCGCGGGUGCCACUGAAGCAGACUGCCCUUGCAGCAGGUGUUCCUCCUCUGCAAGACCAGACUCCUCCAGGGAGUGUCUCACCAUGUGUGAGCAUGGCCUUAAAGCGCGUAGAAGCCAAGACCAGCGGAAGUGGCUGGACAGGAAUCUUGGCUCAAGAGGAGCAAUUUGGACAUGAAGUCAAGUGAGGUCCUCAGGCAUUUACCUCUGCUCCUUUAUGCCUCAUCAGUGUAAAUUCUGGACUUCCUGAUCUCAAUGGGGGUUUUGCUUGACAAGUAAUUAAAAAAAACUUAAAAUGCUCUCAUUAACACUUGGCAACAAUAUGAGGGUUGAUACCAUGUCUUGUGGUUUGGCCAUUUUAAAAUUGUGUGUAGUGUGUAUACAUAAUGCAUGCAUCUGAGGUUGUAUGAGUAUUAUGGGACACAUGAGGGUUGAUACUAUGACUCAUGUGGGUUUUGCCAUUUUUAAAUUGUGUGUUAUGUGUGUGAAUAAUGUAUGUAUCUGAUUUCUAUGGGGUGCAUGUUGUAGUCGGGAUGGCUCUAGGGAGUUGGUUUUCUCUUUCUAUCAUGGAACCUGGGGAUCAAACUCAGGUUGUCAGGAAUGCAUAGUGAGCACUUUUACCUUUUGGGCCAGCUCAUGGGCCCAUGUCUUGUUUAUUUUUGUCUGCUUGAUUUAUUCACAUUUGCAGGUUUGAAUUUUAAGUAUAAAACAGAUAAACUGAAAAUUCCACUCAUGCUAUCCUCUCAUAGUCGUACCUCUUUUCCUACAACUGAGGCUUGCCAAUCACUCAUCUGUUCAUCGUGACAGUUUUUAUCAUUUUAGACUGCAAAUGACAGGUCUGUGUAGAUGACUCAGUCAAUGCAUUGAGAUCCAUCCAGAGCACCACGUUCAAACAGGUGCUGUGGACACUGGACCUUAGUGCUGUGGGAGAGUGGAGUGGUCUCUAGAGCUUGCUGGCCUGCAGUCUAGACACUUGGUGAGGGUCAGACAUAGUGAGGGACAUUGUCUCCAAAAAUAAUAAGAGUAAUCAGGGAAGACACCUGGUGCAGACCUCCAGUCUUCCUACAUAUAUGCAUGCACUCACACAGACACACCCUCAAACACACUCCACACACUUUCAAAACCCAACCAGAAUCAAAACAGCAAGCCACAGAAGCAGACAGGCAUAGAAACAAAGAGGCCAUGGAUUUGAUAGAGAGCAAGAAUGGGAGGGCCGGAGGCAGAAAAGGGAAGGGGGAAAUGGUGUGCUUAUAUGAUGAUCUCAAAAUAAAGAUAAUAAAAAUUGUCUUCUUUCAGAAUAA
Molecule: long non-coding RNA, 2128 nt
Organism: Mesocricetus auratus (golden hamster)
Lineage: Eukaryota; Metazoa; Chordata; Mammalia; Rodentia; Cricetidae
Exons: 2
Source: RefSeq, a predicted model, not a curated record